GCAUAUCAAUAAGCGGAGGAAAAGAAACCAACAGGGAUUGCCCUAGUAACGGCGAGUGAAGCGGCAACAGCUCAAAUUUGAAAUCUGGCUUCGGCCCGAGUUGUAAUUUGCAGAGGAAGCUUUAGGCGCGGCACCUCCUGAGUCCCCUGGAACGGGGCGCCACAGAGGGUGAGAGCCCCGUAUAGUUGGAUGCCUAGCCUGUGUAAAGCUCCUUCGACGAGUCGAGUAGUUUGGGAAUGCUGCUCAAAAUGGGAGGUAAAUUUCUUCUAAAGCUAAAUACCGGCCAGAGACCGAUAGCGCACAAGUAGAGUGAUCGAAAGAUGAAAAGCACUUUGAAAAGAGGGUUAAAUAGCACGUGAAAUUGUUGAAAGGGAAGCGCUUGUGACCAGACUUGCGCCGGGCUGAUCAUCCGGUGUUCUCACCGGUGCACUCUGCCCGGCUCAGGCCAGCAUCGGUUCUCGCGGGGGGAUAAAGGCCCUGGGAACGUAGCUCCUCCGGGAGUGUUAUAGCCCGGGGCGCAAUGCCCUCGCGGGGACCGAGGUUCGCGCUCUGCAAGGAUGCUGGCGUAAUGGUCAUCAGCGACCCGUCUUGAAACACGGACCAAGGAGUCAAGGUUUUGCGCGAGUGUUUGGGUGUAAAACCCGCACGCGUAAUGAAAGUGAACGUAGGUGAGAGCUUCGGCGCAUCAUCGACCGAUCCUGAUGUUCUCGGAUGGAUUUGAGUAGGAGCGUUAAGCCUUGGACCCGAAAGAUGGUGAACUAUGCUUGGAUAGGGUGAAGCCAGAGGAAACUCUGGUGGAGGCUCGCAGCGGUUCUGACGUGCAAAUCGAUCGUCAAAUCUGAGCAUGGGGGCGAAAGACUAAUCGAACCAUCUAGUAGCUGGUUACCGCCGAAGU
This 895-nucleotide ribosomal RNA is filed under the name Acrophialophora fusispora. Its description in RNAcentral is "LSU rRNA". It matches the Rfam family "Eukaryotic large subunit ribosomal RNA", at positions 38 to 967 of the family's 3401-position model. Lineage: Eukaryota; Fungi; Ascomycota; Sordariomycetes; Sordariales; Chaetomiaceae. The record is from RNAcentral.